CCGGCGUGGCUGCGGAAUGUCACGAUGACCCUCACGA
Molecule: unclassified non-coding RNA, 37 nt
Filed under: Nostocoides australiense Ben110
Lineage: Bacteria; Bacillati; Actinomycetota; Actinomycetes; Micrococcales; Intrasporangiaceae
Description: Tetrasphaera australiensis Ben110 p27_CRE
Source: RNAcentral